Molecule: ribosomal RNA, 442 nt
Filed under: uncultured bacterium
Lineage: Bacteria
Description: partial 16S ribosomal RNA
Rfam family: Bacterial small subunit ribosomal RNA
Source: RNAcentral
CCUACGGGAGGCAGCAGUGGGGAAUAAUGGGCAAUGGGCGCAAGCCUGACCCAGCAACGCCGCGUGAAGGAAGAAGGCUUUCCGGUUGUAAACUUCCUUUAAUGGGGAAGAGCAGUAGACGGUACCCCUUGCAUAAGCCACGGCUAACUACGUGCCAGCAGCCGCCGUAAUACGUAGGUGGCAAGCGUUGUCCGGAUUUACUGGGUGUAAAGGGCGUGCACCCGGAGAGACAAGUCCGUUGUGAAAUCCACGGGCUCAACCCGUGAACUGCAUUUGAAACUGUUUGCCUUGAGUGUGGGAGGGGUAAUCGGAAUUCCUGGUGUAGCGGUGAAAUGCGUAGAUAUAAGGAGGAACACCAGUGGCGAAGGCGGAUUACUGGACGAUAACUGACGGUGAGGCGCGAAGGCGUGGGGAGCGAACGGGAUUAGAUACCCUAGUAGUC